RNAcentral lists this ribosomal RNA (448 nucleotides) under uncultured bacterium. RNAcentral describes it as "bacterial SSU rRNA". It matches the Rfam family "Bacterial small subunit ribosomal RNA", at positions 329 to 794 of the family's 1533-position model. The record is from RNAcentral.
UGCCAGACUCCUACGGGAGGCAGCAGUGGGGAAUAUUGCACAAUGGGGGAAACCCUGAUGCAGCGACGCCGCGUGAGCGAUGAAGUAUUUCGGUAUGUAAAGCUCUAUCAGCAGGGAAGAAGAUGACGGUACCUGACUAAGAAGCCCCGGCUAACUACGUGCCAGCAGCCGCGGUAAUACGUAGGGGGCAAGCGUUAUCCGGAUUUACUGGGUGUAAAGGGAGCGUAGACGGCGAUGCAAGCCAGAUGUGAAAGCCCGGGGCUCAACCCCGGGACUGCAUUUGGAACUGUGUGGCUGGAGUGUCGGAGAGGCAGGCGGAAUUCCUAGUGUAGCGGUGAAAUGCGUAGAUAUUAGGAGGAACACCAGUGGCGAAGGCGGCCUGCUGGACGACAACUGACGGUGAGGCGCGAAAGCGUGGGGAGCAAACAGGAUUAGAUACCCGCGUAGC